GAGUUUGAUCCUGGCUCAGAACGAACGCUGGCGGCAGGCUUAACACAUGCAAGUCGAACGCCCCGCAAGGGGAGUGGCAGACGGGUGAGUAACACGUGGGAAUGUACCCCAAGGUACGGAAUAUUCUCGGGAAACUGAGGGCAAUACCGUAUGUGACCGAAAGGUGAAAGAUUUAUCGCCUUGGGAUCAGCCCGCGUUGGAUUAGCUAGUUGGUGGGGUAAAAGCCUACCAAGGCGACGAUCCAUAGCUGGUCUGAGAGGACGACCAGCCACACUGGGACUGAGACACGGCCCAGACUCCUACGGGAGGCAGCAGUGGGGAAUCUUGGACAAUGGGCGCAAGCCUGAUCCAGCCAUGCCGCGUGAGUGAUGAAGGCCUUAGGGUUGUAAAACUCUUUCGUCAGGGACGAUAAUGACGGUACCUGAAGAAGAAGCCCCGGCUAACUUCGUGCCAGCCGCCGCUGUAAG
Molecule: ribosomal RNA, 467 nt
Filed under: uncultured Alphaproteobacteria bacterium
Lineage: Bacteria; Pseudomonadati; Pseudomonadota; Alphaproteobacteria
Description: bacterial SSU rRNA
Rfam family: Bacterial small subunit ribosomal RNA
Source: RNAcentral